GAAAGGAGGGAGGAAAGGGGGAGGGGGAGGGGAGGGAGGAGGAAAGGAGGGAGGAAAGGAGGGAGGAAAGGAGGGAGGAAAGGAGGGAGGAAAGGAGGGAGGGGGGGGGGAAAGGAGGGAGGAAAGGAGGGAGGAAAGGAGGGAGGGAGGAUAUCAGGAAGAAAAGAGGGGUGUAAGGAAGUAUUUAGCUACGUGAGGUGAGCUGGGCGUUUCCUCUCGCCGCCCCUGGAGCACUUUAAAUCAACAACAGCUUAAUUUUUCAUAUUUACAUAAACGUCAUCUUUUUUUUUUCACAAGUCAUAUAUAUUUCUAAUUAAUCAAACAGUUUUUUUUUCAAAGUGUAAAGGCUGAGUUCUAGAAAAUAACAUUACAAAGGAGGUCACAUUACAAAUUAUAUCAAAACCCAAAUGAAAGACAAGUCAAUGUAAACAAAAACAAAAAGAGCCUAACUAACAAACAUCAACAGCGUACAGGACACUGACAUCUUUCACAGCCUAGUAGUAGUGAAGACCGUGUACAGGCUGUGUGUGUCUGUCGGCAAAAUAGUACAGCUGACCAUAAAAAUACCAUGAUAGUAUGUACAUUAUGAUUGCAUUACUUGUAGAUGAUCCAUCUGGAUAUGACGACUCCAUAAAGACAACGAGAAAAGCUUUUCCCCAAACCGUUGGUGUUGUAGCCUACAACUAAAACAUUACAGUUGUGUAUUUUGUGUUUGAAGAGAACACCUUCGUUGCACAGCUCAAACGUCUCCAUUAAUACAUUGUUGGUAUAUAUAUAUAUAUAUAUAUUUGUUUGUUUGUUCAGUUUUCAUCGGGUACAAAUAAUCAUAGUCGUAUAAUUUCUGGAGAGAAAAAAACAAACGAAACACAAAAGGUAAAUAUAGACAUUUUUUUAUAUUUUUUAAAUCUCUCCCAUAAUAUAAAAGUCAGCAACUAUAUCAAUAGAUAUACUGUAAUUUCUAUAAAAACAACAUCUGUACCAGUAUCAUUAUUAUUACUAUGGGAUAACCUAUAUCUAUAUAAAGGGUUUUGACUAAAGGGACUAGAUGAUGGUUUCAACAGUAAACCCUCCAUGGAGAAAAAGACCGCAUGCCUCCCAAAUGGCACCCUAUUCGCUAUAUAGUGCACUACUUUGAACAGGGCCCUAUGGCACCAUAUUCCCUAUAUAGUGCACUACUUUGAACAGGGCCCUAUGGCACCCUAUUCCCUACAUAGUGCACUACUUUGAACAGGGCCCUAUGGCACCCUAUUCCCUACAUAGUGCACUACUUUGAACAGGGCCCUAUGGCACCCUAUUCCCUAUAUAGUGCACUACUUUGAACAUGGGCCUACGGCACCCUGUCCCCUAUAUAGUGCACUACUCUAGACCCGAGCCUAAUUGCCUAUAUAGUGCACUACUUUGAACAGGGCCCUAUGGCACCCUGUCCCCUAUAUAGUGCACUACUCUAGACCCGAGCCUAAUUGCCUAUAUAGUGCACUACGUUGAACAGGGCCCUAUAGCACCCUAUUCCCUAUAUGGUGCACAACUUUGACCAGAGGCAUAUAGGGCCCUAUAUAGGGAAUAGUGUGCCAUAGGGCCCUGUCCAAAGCAGUGCACUAUAUAUAGGGAGUAGGGUGCCAUAGGGCCCUGUUCAAAGUAGUGCACUAUAUAGGGAAUAGGGGUCCGUUUGGGAAGCAGACUCUCUGUCCUCUAACCAUAAUAAGUUAUUCUCUGUAAAAAUCUGACUGCACACACAGAUGGAAAACCCCGGGAACAUCUGAACCUUUGGCUUUGAGUGAUAAACGAUGACAAUCACAACCAUCAUGAUCUAAUCCACACAUCAACGUCCUCACUGUUUAGCACACUGCCGACUACGCAUCAUCCACACACAACUACUCCCCUCCAUCUCUCUCUUUCCCAUCACCUGGUCUAAUAAUGACACAGCACUGUGUUGUGGGUUUAUAGUACCCCAUUUUACCCCCACCUCCCCUCCAUCUCUC
This is a long non-coding RNA of Oncorhynchus tshawytscha (Chinook salmon), 1979 nucleotides long. The record is from Ensembl. Lineage: Eukaryota; Metazoa; Chordata; Actinopteri; Salmoniformes; Salmonidae.